Molecule: transfer RNA, 66 nt
Filed under: Scarodytes malickyi
Lineage: Eukaryota; Metazoa; Arthropoda; Insecta; Coleoptera; Dytiscidae
Description: tRNA-Asn
Source: RNAcentral
UUAAUUGAAGCCAAAAUAGAGGCAUUUCACUGUUAAUGAUUUUAUUGAAUAAAAAUUCCAAUUAAA